GACGAACGCUGGCGGCGUGCUUAACACAUGCAAGUCGAACGCUGAAGCUCAGCUUUUGUUGGGUGGAUGAGUGGCGAACGGGUGAGUAACACGUGAGUAACCUGCCUCCUUCUUUGGGAUAACGCCAGGAAACGGGUGCUAAUACUGGAUAUUCACUGGUCUUCGCAUGGGGGUUGGUGGAAAGGGUUUUUCUUGUGGGGGAUGGGCGCGCGGCCUAGCGGCUUGUUGGUGGGGUGAUGGCCUACCAAGGCUUUGACGGGUAGCCGGCCUGCGAGGGGGACCGGGCAGAUUGGGACCGAGAUACGGCCCAGACUCAGACGGGAGGCAGCAGUGGGGAAGAUAGCACAAUGGGAGCAAGCCUGAUGCAGCGACGCCUCGUGGGGGAUGGCGGCCUGCGGGUUGUGAACCUCUGUGUCUCAUGGUCAAGCCGCAACAAUAGUUGUAGUGACGGUAGUGGGUAAAGAAGCGCCGGCUAACUACGUG
Molecule: ribosomal RNA, 483 nt
Filed under: uncultured bacterium
Lineage: Bacteria
Description: partial 16S ribosomal RNA
Rfam family: Bacterial small subunit ribosomal RNA
Source: RNAcentral